This 439-nucleotide ribosomal RNA is filed under the name uncultured bacterium. RNAcentral's name for it is "partial 16S ribosomal RNA". It matches the Rfam family "Bacterial small subunit ribosomal RNA", at positions 339 to 795 of the family's 1533-position model. The record is from RNAcentral.
CUACGGGACGCUGCAGUGAGGAAUAUUGCACAAUGGGGGGAACCCUGAUGCAGCAACGCCGCGUGGAGGAUGACGCAUUUCGGUGUGUAAACUCCUUUUAUAUGUCAAGAAAAUGACGGUAGCAUAUGAAUAAGCACCGGCUAACACCGUGCCAGCAGCCGCGGUAAUACGGAGGGUGCAAGCGUUACUCGGAAUCACUGGGCGUAAAGGACGCGUAGGCGGGUUGGAAAGUCAGGUGUGAAAUCCUACAGCUUAACUGUAGAACUGCACUUGAAACUUCUAAUCUAGAGUAUGGGAGGGGGAGAUGGAAUUAGUGGUGUAGGGGUAAAUUCCGUAGAUAUCACUAGGAAUACCUAAAGCGAAGGCGAUCUCCUGGAACAUUACUGACGCUAAGGCGUGAAAGCGUGGGGAGCAAACAGGAUUAGAUACCCUCGUAGUC